Molecule: ribosomal RNA, 1463 nt
Filed under: uncultured Klebsiella sp.
Lineage: Bacteria; Pseudomonadati; Pseudomonadota; Gammaproteobacteria; Enterobacterales; Enterobacteriaceae
Description: bacterial SSU rRNA
Rfam family: Bacterial small subunit ribosomal RNA
Source: RNAcentral
AUUGAACGCUGGCGGCAGGCCUAACACAUGCAAGUCGAGCGGUAGCACAGAGAGCUUGCUCUCGGGUGACGAGCGGCGGACGGGUGAGUAAUGUCUGGGAAACUGCCUGAUGGAGGGGGAUAACUACUGGAAACGGUAGCUAAUACCGCAUAACGUCGCAAGACCAAAGUGGGGGACCUUCGGGCCUCAUGCCAUCAGAUGUGCCCAGAUGGGAUUAGCUAGUAGGUGGGGUAACGGCUCACCUAGGCGACGAUCCCUAGCUGGUCUGAGAGGAUGACCAGCCACACUGGAACUGAGACACGGUCCAGACUCCUACGGGAGGCAGCAGUGGGGAAUAUUGCACAAUGGGCGCAAGCCUGAUGCAGCCAUGCCGCGUGUGUGAAGAAGGCCUUCGGGUUGUAAAGCACUUUCAGCGGGGAGGAAGGCGUUAAGGUUAAUAACCUUGGCGAUUGACGUUACCCGCAGAAGAAGCACCGGCUAACUCCGUGCCAGCAGCCGCGGUAAUACGGAGGGUGCAAGCGUUAAUCGGAAUUACUGGGCGUAAAGCGCACGCAGGCGGUCUGUCAAGUCGGAUGUGAAAUCCCCGGGCUCAACCUGGGAACUGCAUUCGAAACUGGCAGGCUAGAGUCUUGUAGAGGGGGGUAGAAUUCCAGGCGUAGCGGUGAAAUGCGUAGAGAUCUGGAGGAAUACCGGUGGCGAAGGCGGCCCCCUGGACAAAGACUGACGCUCAGGUGCGAAAGCGUGGGGAGCAAACAGGAUUAGAUACCCUGGUAGUCCACGCCGUAAACGAUGUCGAUUUGGAGGUUGUGCCCUUGAGGCGUGGCUUCCGGAGCUAACGCGUUAAAUCGACCGCCUGGGGAGUACGGCCGCAAGGUUAAAACUCAAAUGAAUUGACGGGGGCCCGCACAAGCGGUGGAGCAUGUGGUUUAAUUCGAUGCAACGCGAAGAACCUUACCUGGUCUUGACAUCCACAGAACUUUCCAGAGAUGGAUUGGUGCCUUCGGGAACUGUGAGACAGGUGCUGCAUGGCUGUCGUCAGCUCGUGUUGUGAAAUGUUGGGUUAAGUCCCGCAACGAGCGCAACCCUUAUCCUUUGUUGCCAGCGGUCCGGCCGGGAACUCAAAGGAGACUGCCAGUGAUAAACUGGAGGAAGGUGGGGAUGACGUCAAGUCAUCAUGGCCCUUACGACCAGGGCUACACACGUGCUACAAUGGCAUAUACAAAGAGAAGCGACCUCGCGAGAGCAAGCGGACCUCAUAAAGUAUGUCGUAGUCCGGAUUGGAGUCUGCAACUCGACUCCAUGAAGUCGGAAUCGCUAGUAAUCGUAGAUCAGAAUGCUACGGUGAAUACGUUCCCGGGCCUUGUACACACCGCCCGUCACACCAUGGGAGUGGGUUGCAAAAGAAGUAGGUAGCUUAACCUUCGGGAGGGCGCUUACCACUUUGUGAUUCAUGACUGGGGUGA